Lolium perenne is the source of this 4103-nucleotide non-coding RNA. The record is from RefSeq and is a predicted model, not a curated record. Lineage: Eukaryota; Viridiplantae; Streptophyta; Magnoliopsida; Poales; Poaceae.
UCUUCAUCGCAACAUUUUGAGAAGGCAAAACGCACUCACGCAUAGCACGCCAUCGAUUCGCCGCCGCUCACCCAACUCCCUCGCUGCUCUGUGGCCGCCGGCCGGCCGGCCGGCCACACCACCCACCUCCCUCGCCGCCGGCAGCCCUCACCCUCCCAACUCACUCGCCGCCGGAAACCCUCACCCACCAAUCCUCUCCGCCGCCGGAAACCCUCUCCCACCCAUUCCUCUCCGCCCUCUCAUCCCCGCGCGCCCGCCAAUGCCCUAGAGGUCGGCGUCAAGAACCCCCGCCAGGCGAUGGUCCUCGCCGGCCAUCCGGAGCGCCUGAAGCUGGGCGCCCCCGUCCAGCCCAACCUGACGCUGUGGUGCCUCCCGUCGACCUGGGAUCCCCGACCCGCUCCGCCGCCCUCACUCCCCGCCUCGACGCAGCAGUCGUAGAUGGUGGUCGCCUUCCCGGAGAUGCGGCCACCGGCGACCUCUUGUACAACCGUGCCGAUCUGCAACCGACGGCGACGUCCCCUGUCGGGUACGCUGCUGCUGCCGCCUACCGGAGACCACUCCGUCCCUUUGCCUCCCCAUCUUGCAGCUGUUCGGUGAGGCAAUCGUUUUCUGCAACACAUGUGGCGGACAUAUUGAGCGCUGGGAGUUGUGAGUUGUGCAGCUUGCGGGCAGGUCCGUGAUCUUGCCAGCACCAACAGCAGCGCCGUUGUGCCCUCAUGCUCAAGCCUACCUUCGUCCACGCCGAGUAGCCAAUUCCCCAAGGCUUCCACUUGGUGUCUUCAACUUGGUGUUUCUGCCAUAGGGGAGGACUUGGAGGAGGAGCACAUUGAGGAUAAGUCCAUGGAAGAUCAUGUUGAAAGUUCAAACUGAACAAAGCAUUGCAUGCCAGGUGCUGAGAAGCAAGAGUCCAAUGGUGGCACAAGAUGGUGUUGCUGUUGGUGCCGUCGUGUUGGUCGACACACGCAGCCAGCUUGGCCAUCAACAAUGGCAUGUACAAGAUACAAGACACCAUUGUUGGUAGAUCUGUGUGAGUUGAGUGUAUCUCUGCACUAUAGCUUCCUAGCAGUUCAGUUAACGCAGCCGAAAGAGCAGCAGGCAGCGGUGUCCUUGGUGACACGCCGAUAGUUGAAAUGGUAUCCACCAAUAUGAUGACGGCCUUCUCGUAGAUCCCUCUCACCGCAUCUCUCCCUCAAUCCCCUUUCUCCACUCAAUUUACCGGCACAGCUGCAGCUGCUCGUUGCUGCUCCCCGAGGCUCACCCCACCCCAUGACACCCACCCAACUCCCUCGCUACCGGACACUCCCACCAAUCCAAUCCUCUAAGCCCCCUGAUUCCCGCGCGCCCACCAUGCCCUAGACGUCGGCGUCAAGAACCUCCGCCCGGUGCUGGUCCUCGCCAUCUGGAACGCCUGGAGAUCGGUGUCACACCCACCAUGUUGCCUCCUGUUGUCCUGGGCUGCCGGCGCCCCUUCGCCUCCCUCCCUGCCUCAACGCACCAGUCGCGGGCAACGGCACAAGCAGCAGUCUAGACCGACACCGGAUGUGGAGGACCUCCUCCAUGGCGUCUGCGUCCUGCCUUCAUGUAGCUGCAGCCGCCGUCGGCGACCUUCUAGAAAACCUCCACGAUCUGCGGCCGCCAGCAACGUCCACGCCCUUCUGCUGCCUUGAGACCACUCCUUCCCGCCGCCGUCGACCACAUCCCAAACUUGCAGUUGCUAGUCUGGCAACUAAAUAGAUCAGCCGUGGGCAAGGAGAAGACUCACAUUAACAACGUGGCCAUUUGCCAUGUUGACUCUGGCAAGUCGACCACCAUUGAUCAUCUGGUUUAAGAAGGAAGCCAUUGAGACCCACCCUCUCCGCCACUCUUGGAGUGAAGCAGCUUCUGCAAAGUUUCUUACCAGAAAACCUUGUAUACUGCAUACAAGAAGAGGACCAAGAAUGGAUGAAUACAAUACAAGAAAAGAAAGUGACCCUGGAUUCUAAUAAGAGGCUUCAAGUUUUCAUAUGUUUGGCAACUAAAUAGAUUAUCCAUGGGCAAUGAGAAGACUCUCAUUAACAUCAUGGCCAUUUGCCAUGUUGACUCUGGCAAGGUGACCACCAUUGGCCAUCUGGUUUGAGAAGGAAGCCAUUGAGACCCGCCCUCUUUGCAUGUUCGCUCUUUGAGUGAAGCAGCUGCUAUAAUGUUUCUUACCAGAAAACCUUGUAUACUACAUGCAAGAAGAGGACCAUGAAUGGAUGCAUACAAUACAGGAAGAGAAAGUGACGCUGAAUUCUACUGUGAAGCUUCAAGUUUUCAAUAUGGCAAGGUAGCGGAACCAGAGCAGUAUGUCAUGGAGGGUUGCUUGGCCAACGGAUCAGGUCUUUGAUGACCCCGAGAUGCUUCUCUGAUCUGAAUAUGUGCUGAACAAGAUUAGCAGUGUCAGAGUCAUACAUCCACGUUUUGCAAAGCUGAUCCAUCGCUGGUGCUAUCCAUUGCUGCUGGAUCCGGCAUGUCAGAAACCUGGAAAGAUUCGGAAUGUGUUGUGCUGCAUUGGUUCAGACUCAUAGUUGAGCAGGCCGCGCAAGGAUGCUGUGGAUAUCUCUUCUCUGGCAAGGGUGAACCAGACUCCACUUACCUGCUCACCACCGGGGUGCCAGGGAGAGCCUCUACAUGAACAUCAAGACCACUGCUCCCUGUAUGAAUCAACUGGCCCUUCUCCGUUUCCCCCGUUGAUGGCCGUCCAAGAUAAGACCCGCCGCUCCUGAUCGAUGCCGUGAUUAUAUCCAGCCGCUGGGAGUACUGGGGCAAUGUGGUUGGGCAUAUAUAGGCUGGAUAUGUGGGAACGAGCCAACUUCCAAGGCACAUCGACUAGAGGGGAUCACUGUGUCGUGCUUAUUUGGGGGGCAAUCUUCAUUUGCUCCUGAGUGAUGGCCGGUUGUUUUUUCCUCACCAAAAUGUCAAGCUUGCUGAAUGUAUGUGCUUAUCCUUGUAACUGGACUGCAUUGUAUUCUCUGGUUUGGAUUCUGACUGGUACGUCCACUGUCUGAUGUGGCAUGUGCAUGGAGCACACUGGCCAGCUGCGCUGAUUGGAGCAGCAUGGCAUUGCACCUCACUGGACGGUGGCGACGCAGCAUCACUCUUGCUGGUGUCGACGCUGGAUGGUGAACUCUUCCUUGGACCUAGCUGGCGGCCCAAGCAUGCUGAUGCUGCUCCCUAUUUGCAUCAAGUUCAGACUGCUAUAUCCACAGUAUGCUGCAAGUUGUGCGCUCUCUACCAGGAGUCCAUUGACUGGAUUUGAAAAAAUGCUAUCUUGAGCAACAUGUGCGAGAGUUUCAGCGGGAGGCGGCGCGCAGCCCGCAAGCUGUUAGCGGCUGAAGCCCAGCUCUUGCAGGCACCACCAACCAGCUCCGUCGCCACAUUGCACGCCCUCUUGCCCAGUCCUCCUUGUUGCAGACAGCUAAGAUGUACACAAGCACCGUUGCCCCGGCCUAGCCGACAAUGCAAGGUUGCUACUGCUGUAUAUAUUCACCACAUGCUUUAGCCAUUGGACUUGGCGAAGAUGUACUCGGAGUUCAAGGAGGUUGAUGUUGAAGUGUCAGCCGACGAGGAGGAAUCAAGUGAAGAAGAGUAUACAAUGGAAGGACAUUUAUAUUGGCGGCGUAAGGGAGAAGGAUGGGCACUUCGGUAUGUUUGCAGAGAAGGGGCGACGCCCGCGUGGCUCGGCAUAUUGUUCAACCGAACUUCUCGCUGACCAGCUAUGUACGCGGUCACUUUGGAGUCUGGAAGCAUGACCUGGAAUGCUGUCCAUGGCCAAGUUUGUUUUGUUCUUAGUUUGUGUAUGUGUUUUAUUUAGACGACCAGACUAGUGAUCUGAGUUGGAUGGUGGUCGGUUUGGAUGUCGUGUUAGUUGUUGUGCUGCAUAUGCACUUUUAUAGGUGAUUAUUUGGUCUGUGACCUGAAUGCUGAAAAAAUAGAAAAACUUAUGCCAAAAUUUCGAUUAUUUUUGUAUAGUUUGCUGUUGCUAAGUGUUAGCUGGAGAAUAUGUAUUUUUUUCCUUAUUGGUAGAAGAUGUAGCUGUGUACGAAAUAUUUUGAGCGUGAUGACUACGGUUUGUAGAAGCAUAA